RNAcentral lists this ribosomal RNA (481 nucleotides) under Borreliella burgdorferi (Lyme disease spirochete). RNAcentral describes it as "bacterial SSU rRNA". It matches the Rfam family "Bacterial small subunit ribosomal RNA", at positions 52 to 527 of the family's 1533-position model. The record is from RNAcentral. Lineage: Bacteria; Pseudomonadati; Spirochaetota; Spirochaetia; Spirochaetales; Borreliaceae.
AGCAUGCAAGUCAAACGGGAUGUAGCAAUGCAUCUAGUGGCGAACGGGUGAGUAACGCGUGGAUGAUCUACCUAUGAGAUGGGGAUAACUAUUAGAAAUAGUAGCUAAUACCGAAUAAGGUCAAUUAAUUUGUUAAUUGAUGAAAGGAAGCCUUUAAAGCUUCGCUUGUAGAUGAGUCUGCGUCUUAUUAGUUAGUUGGUGGGGUAAAUGCCUACCAAGGCGAUGAUAAGUAACCGGCCUGAGAGGGUGAACGGUCACACUGGAACUGAGACACGGUCCAGACUCCUACGGGAGGCAGCAGCUAAGAAUCUUCCGCAAUGGGCGAAAGCCUGACGGAGCGACACUGCGUGAAUGAAGAAGGUCGAAAGAUUGUAAAAUUCUUUUAUAAAUGAGGAAUAAGCUUUGUAGGAAAUGGCAAAGUGAUGACGUUAAUUUAUGAAUAAGCCCCGGCUAAUUACGUGCCAGCAGCCGCGGUAAUACG